Non-coding RNA from Pelobates cultripes (western spadefoot toad), 349 nucleotides. The record is from the annotation of a GenBank genome assembly. NCBI's taxonomy places the organism in Eukaryota, Metazoa, Chordata, Amphibia, Anura, Pelobatidae.
CUGAUGUGAUUUUAGAACGGUGUUAAAUAUACAGUUUAACACCAGUAUCACUGUUCCCGCUAAGGUUCUAAAGUGGGCACGCGCGCUCCCUCUAAAACCUUAGAGGGAACAGCGCUUUAGAGGGAGCGCGCAUGAGGUCUGGAUUUGCCCAUAGCCCCUCACGGAACAGGUCAGAAGGUGAGGGCACUGCAAGGAGCAGACUGAUGGCCUGUCACUGGAGGCCUAGGAGUAUGUUUAAGUAGUGUGUAUAAGGAACUGUAGUUCUAUUGCACUGCGUGUAUAAGGAGUCAGGGCUGGUGCAAGGAUUGUUGCCGCCGUAGGCAAACAAAUUUGCCGCACCCCAUAUGCU